GAUCAUUGUGCAAACAACUGCUGGGAUCGAGCUGAUGGUACUACCCUUUGUUCCUGUCCAGUCUAGGGGCAUUGAUCGUUCAUUGCUUCUUCAUCCAAUCAAAGUAGAGGUGCAAGUCUACAAGAAUUUUCCUUAUUACUGGUUUUAGUCUAAAGGCUUUCCCUUCUAUCUUGUAAAUUCUCAUUACCAACUUUAGACUAUUGACUUUCUAUCUUGUUAAUUAAAUGUUCUGUUAGCCUUGGUCAAAGGUGACUUUAUUUGCAUUCCAAUUGUUUUCGUUCCGGAAAUAUAAUCUGGAAAGGGGUGUUAAUUCAUAGAGGUAACUGCAAAGAAUGUCUGGAGAUCUGAAGCACUGAUGAUAACAGGAUUUGACUCCCCUCGGGUACAACUUCUACUCGAUUCAUUAUAUAGAUAGAUGGGGUGAUUAUGAAUUCAUUGGAGAAGAUCUGAAGCACUGCCGGUAACUGGCUUUGACUCCCUUUAAUACCCAUCUUCAACUCAAGUUUUAACUCAAAUACAUUGAGUGAAUGGUUUAUUCAAAGGAAGUCAAUCUAGUUUUAGCUCCCUUCGUUCCACAGAAAUGGAUUAAUUUGCUGACUUUAUUUUUAACUUCCAAAAAGAGACUCUGUUCUUUAAACGGUAGCGGGGUUAAUUGAUGGUUUAGUUUGAUCACUGUACUAGUGGUUGAUUUUUAUUGUAGUUAUCGUUUUUUUUGUUAUACACAUUAAAUAUGCUAAAAAAAGGCUACAAAAUGAUCAUUACUGAGCAUUCAUUUCAUCUAAAAAAGUGAAUGG
This 794-nucleotide long non-coding RNA is filed under the name Panax ginseng (ginseng). RNAcentral's name for it is "long non-coding RNA (PGIN_LNC013689)". Lineage: Eukaryota; Viridiplantae; Streptophyta; Magnoliopsida; Apiales; Araliaceae. The record is from RNAcentral.